Molecule: transfer RNA, 68 nt
Filed under: Grimothea gregaria
Lineage: Eukaryota; Metazoa; Arthropoda; Malacostraca; Decapoda; Munididae
Description: Munida gregaria tRNA-Ser
Source: RNAcentral
GACUAUUUAGUUUAUUUAAAACAAAUGUUUUGAAAACAUUAAAAAAGUAUUUAUCUACUUAAUAGUUA